CUCCGGCUCUGCCCGCGCGUGCGCGGUGUGUCGCGCGCCUCCUCGAGGCCUUGGCUUCCUCAGGAGCUGUGUGGCGGUGCGUAGCUGAGGCGGAGAUUGCUUCCACGCGCUCGGCGUCAGGAACAGCGACCGCUCCGUUUAGCCAUUUCCACGGGUGGAGUGUUUCCGUGGCCAGAGUCUUCUCACAUACUUUCCAUGCCACUCACUACAAAUGGCAAAGGAGGAAACUGAGGAGAAGGGCUAUCAUCCAACUCCAGAGGACUCGAGCCCAGACGCCAGAUUUUCACUGCUCGCCUUUUUUUCCCCUCAGAUAAAUCUGAGCCCAAGGAAUGGGAGCUUGCUGGAAGCCAGACGCCAGCCUGAGGGGAA
RNAcentral lists this long non-coding RNA (369 nucleotides) under Dasypus novemcinctus (nine-banded armadillo). Its description in RNAcentral is "lncRNA (ENSDNOG00000052790.1)". Lineage: Eukaryota; Metazoa; Chordata; Mammalia; Cingulata; Dasypodidae. The record is from RNAcentral.